GACGAACGCUGGCGGCGUGCUUAACACAUGCAAGUCGAACGGAAAGGCCCUGCUUUUGUGGGGUGCUCGAGUGGCGAACGGGUGAGUAACACGUGAGUAACCUGCCCUUGACUUUGGGAUAACUUCAGGAAACUGGGGCUAAUACCGGAUAGGAGCUCCUGCUGCAUGGUGGGGGUUGGAAAGUUUCGGCGGUUGGGGAUGGACUCGCGGCUUAUCAGCUUGUUGGUGGGGUAGUGGCUUACCAAGGCUUUGACGGGUAGCCGGCCUGAGGGGGUGACCGGCCACAUUGGGACUGAGAUACGGCCCAGACUCCUACGGGAGGCAGCAGUGGGGAAUAUUGCACAAUGGGCGGAAGCCUGAUGCAGCAACGCCGCGUGCGGGAUGACGGCCUUCGGGUUGUAAACCGCUUUCGCCUGUGACGAAGCGUGAGUGACGGUAAUGGGUAAAGAAGCACCGGCUAACUACGUGCCAGCAGCCGCGGUGAUACGUAGGGUGCGAGCGUUGUCCGGAUUUAUUGGGCGUAAAGGGCUCGUAGGUGGUUGAUCGCGUCGGAAGUGUAAUCUUGGGGCUUAACCCUGAGCGUGCUUUCGAUACGGGUUGACUUGAGGAAGGUAGGGGAGAAUGGAAUUCCUGGUGGAGCGGUGGAAUGCGCAUAUAUCAGGAGGAACACCAGUGGCGAAGGCGGUUCUCUGGGCCUUUCCUGACGCUGAGGAGCGAAAGCGUGGGGAGCGAACAGGCUUAGAUACCCUGGUAGUCCACGCUGUAAACGGUGGGUACUAGGUGUGGGGUCCAUUCCACGGGUUCCGUGCCGUAGCUAACGCUUUAAGUACCCCGCCUGGGGAGUACGGCCGCAAGGCUAAAACUCAAAGGAAUUGACGGGGCCCCGCACAAGCGGCGGAGCAUGCGGAUUAAUUCGAUGCAACGCGUAGAACCUUACCUGGGUUUGACAUGGAUCGGGAGCGCUCAGAGAUGGGUGUGCCUCUUUUGGGGUCGGUUCACAGGUGGUGCAUGGCUGUCGUCAGCUCGUGUCGUGAGAUGUUGGGUUAAGUCCCGCAACGAGCGCAACCCUUGUUCACUGUUGCCAGCACGUUAUGGUGGGGACUCAGUGGAGACCGCCGGGGUCAACUCGGAGGAAGGUGGGGAUGACGUCAAGUCAUCAUGCCCCUUAUGUCCAGGGCUUCACGCAUGCUACAAUGGCUGGUACAGAGAGUGGCGAGCCUGUGAGGGUGAGCGAAUCUCGGAAAGCCGGUCUCAGUUCGGAUUGGGGUCUGCAACUCGACCUCAUGAAGUCGGAGUCGCUAGUAAUCGCAGAUCAGCAACGCUGCGGUGAAUACGUUCCCGGG
RNAcentral lists this ribosomal RNA (1343 nucleotides) under uncultured bacterium. RNAcentral's name for it is "16S ribosomal RNA". It matches the Rfam family "Bacterial small subunit ribosomal RNA", at positions 28 to 1378 of the family's 1533-position model. The record is from RNAcentral.